Molecule: long non-coding RNA, 445 nt
Organism: Esox lucius (northern pike)
Lineage: Eukaryota; Metazoa; Chordata; Actinopteri; Esociformes; Esocidae
Exons: 3
Source: RefSeq, a predicted model, not a curated record
AUCUGCUCUUGUCAUGAUCAACCGUUAGGGGUUUUACUGUCGCACGGAUCAGCAGCGUAUUUGUUAUCAGUGUAAACUGGAUGAACAUAAAGACCACGAUACUGUCUCUGCUGCAGUAGAAAGGCCUGAGAGACAGAAGCUGUUAAAUGUGAACCAGACCAAUCAGAUAAUCCUGGAGAGAGAAAGAGAUGCAGGAGGUGAGACAGGCUUUGAAGUCACUCAAGCGCUUUGCACAAACAGCAGUUGAGGAAAGUGAGAGGAUCUUUACUGAGCUGAUCCGCCACAUUGAGAAAAGUCGCUCUGAGGUGAAGGAGCUGAUCGGUGCCCAGGAGAUGGCUGAAGUGAAUCGUGCAGAGAGAAUCCUGAAACAACUAGGGCAGAAUGUUUCUGAGCUGCGGAGGAGUGACGCUGAGCCUUUGGCGUACUGCAGUUUCACUGGACCCCC